AAUCCUUAUUGAGUUGUUAUUUGCUUGAUUUUUUUCUGUGUUCUGUAAAGAAGUUUGGCAAUGCAGCAGUAUAGCCACUUUAAACAAAAAUGGGAAAUUUACUAUUAAGUUAGAUCUCCAGCACUCAAAAUAUGUUACUUUAUGAACAUAUAUAGAGCUAAUGUUACAACUUGAAAAAAGGAGAGAAAAACAAAAGAACAAGAAAAACAUAUUGGUAAAAAAGUCUUGCAUUGCAAGACUUUAAAAAAUAUUUUGGAGGGUUUUAAAAAUAUUUUGAUCUGUCAUACAUUUUCUGCUUUAGGAGAGGGUAGUAUAAUAAGAUCUUCCAGCAACUCUUCAAGAAGUGUGAGAAGGACUAGAGUACAAGCUAUGUCACAUCACUUUCCCUUUUAUUUUCCAGGGUGUUGAUCUUCUGCAAGAAAUGGUCCCUCCACUCAGGCCUCAAGGAUAGUUGCUGAACUUGUGAAAGCCUGUGACAGUCACCCUCACACAGCCUUGCUAAGCAUUUAGAGUGCAUUUUGUGACCUUGUGAUGUGUGGGAGACACACAGGAAAUGUGUUUUGGUCCAGCCUGCCUGAAACACACCUAAAACUGCAACAAAACAUUUGCAAGGUAAACAACACACAAAGUAUGAAUAUCACUAGAUGAUUUGGACAUAAUUUAUGCAUAUAAUUAACUUCUUGCUGGCAGCACUACCAUAUAAAAUGAGACAACAUUCAACACAUUCAAGGCAUCGUCGUUGUAUACCCUAAAAUUAAAUUACAAAGAUAGUUAUCCUCAGAAUAAUUAUAUCAAAGUUUCACUGGCACUUUGGACAGGUCUGUGAUAACACUUCAGCUUAAUAUAGUGACCAAUUUAAACUAAACAUUUGUUUAACAUAUUGUUGUGCAAUAUGGAUUUAAUAGCAGUUUAGAUCUGUAAUCUUGGUGUUUCUCUGUAACCUUUCAUUGUCAUUUACCUAAACUAUCUAAGCAUUAAGUCUGUAGGACUGACCAGUAUACCAAGGUCAAGUCUGUAAGAAAAAAACCAGAAGUCUCUUUAUUAACAACUUCUUUGAAAUGUGCUGUAA
Molecule: long non-coding RNA, 1069 nt
Filed under: Taeniopygia guttata (zebra finch)
Lineage: Eukaryota; Metazoa; Chordata; Aves; Passeriformes; Estrildidae
Description: lncRNA (ENSTGUG00000025267.1)
Source: RNAcentral